Molecule: ribosomal RNA, 498 nt
Filed under: uncultured Glomeromycotina
Lineage: Eukaryota; Fungi; Glomeromycota
Description: partial small subunit ribosomal RNA
Rfam family: Eukaryotic small subunit ribosomal RNA
Source: RNAcentral
CCAAUAGCGUAUAUUAAAGUUGUUGCAGUUAAAAAGCUCGUAGUUGAAUUUCGGGAUUAGUACGCUGGUCGUGCCUUUGGUAUGUACUGGUGUUACUGAUUCCUACCUUCUGACGAACCGUCAUGUCAUUAAUUUGGUGUGGCGGGAAAUCAGGACUGUUACUUUGAAAAAAUUAGAGUGUUUAAAGCAGGCUCGCGCUUGAAUACAUUAGCAUGGAAUAAUGAAAUAGGACGUUCGAUCCUAUUUUGUUGGUUUCUAGGAUUGACGUAAUGAUUAAUAGGGAUAGUUGGGGGCAUUAGUAUUCAAUUGUCAGAGGUGAAAUUCUUGGAUUUAUUGAAGACUAACUACUGCGAAAGCAUUUGCCAAGGAUGUUUUCAUUAAUCAAGAACGAAAGUUAGGGGAUCGAAGACGAUCAGAUACCGUCGUAGUCUUAACCAUAAACUAUGCCGACUAGGGAUCGGAUGAUGUUAUUUUUAAUGACUCAUUCGGCGCCUUACG